GUGUCAGCAGCCGCGGUAAUACGUAGGUGGCAAGCGUUGUCCGGAAUCAUUGGGCGUAAAGAGCGCGUAGGUGGCUUGUCAGGUCUGAUGUGAAAUCCUGGGGCUCAACUCCAGAACUGCAUCGGAAACCGGCUUGCUAGAGUCUGGGAGAGGAGAGUGGAAUUCCUGGUGUAGCGGUGAAAUGCGUAGAUAUCAGGAGGAACACCGGUAGCGAAGGCGGCUCUCUGGAACAGUACUGACGCUGAGGCGCGAAAGCUAGGGGAGCGAACAGGAUUAGAUACCCCUGUAGUCC
RNAcentral lists this ribosomal RNA (292 nucleotides) under uncultured bacterium. Its description in RNAcentral is "partial 16S ribosomal RNA". It matches the Rfam family "Bacterial small subunit ribosomal RNA", at positions 505 to 796 of the family's 1533-position model. The record is from RNAcentral.